GACGAACGCUGGCGGCGUGCUUAACACAUGCAAGUCGAACGGAAAGGCCCUGCUGUUGUUGGGCGCUCGAGUGGCGAGCGGGUGAGUAACACGUGAGUAACCUGUCCUUGACUUUGGGAUAACUUCAGGAAACUGGGGCUCAUACCGGAUAGGAGCUCCUGCUGCAUGGUGGGGGUUGGAAAGUUUCGGCGUUGGUGGAUGGACUCGCGGCUUAUCAGCUGGUGGGGCGGGUAGUGGUGUACCAAGGUUUCGAGGGGUAGCAGGCCUGAGCGGGGGACCGGCCACAUGGGGACUGCGAUAGGGCCCAGCAGCGUACGGGAGGCAGCAGUGGGAAGUAUGGCACAGUGGGGGGAAGCCUGUGACAGAACUGCUGCGAGCGGGAUAAUGGCCUUCGGGUUGUGAACCUCUUUCGCAUGUGCUGAGGAGUGAGUGACGGUAAUUGGUAAAGAAGCACCGGCUAACUACGUG
This 468-nucleotide ribosomal RNA is filed under the name uncultured bacterium. RNAcentral describes it as "partial 16S ribosomal RNA". It matches the Rfam family "Bacterial small subunit ribosomal RNA", at positions 28 to 507 of the family's 1533-position model. The record is from RNAcentral.